Molecule: long non-coding RNA, 1613 nt
Organism: Bubalus bubalis (water buffalo)
Lineage: Eukaryota; Metazoa; Chordata; Mammalia; Artiodactyla; Bovidae
Exons: 5
Source: RefSeq, a predicted model, not a curated record
GAAGAGAGAUUAAAUCAAUUCUCUCCUGACCACAGAAGGCUCAAUGUUAACCAUUUUGCUUCUGUUGGAUGGGUUAAGGAUAAGUUUAUCAGAAGGAAUACCUAGGUCACUUGAAUGAAAGUUUUUCAAUUUUUCACUCGCCUAUAGUAAACGGAUACAUUUAUACUGGUAUGAUGCACACAGUGGGUGGGUGUAUUGGUUUGGCCAAAAAGUUUGUUCAGGUUUUUACAUAUGAUGUGACAGAAAAAAUCAAACGUACUCUUUGGCCAACCGUUUAUGUUGGUGUUGUGACUUGGCAAAGGAAUUUUUAAUGGAUGCAAUGGGAGCAGGAGCUUGAUGCAUGAUCUUGAGAUUUCUCUUGUGUCUUUUGAUCUUCUUGGUAACGCUGGUCACUUAAGUGUUUUCCCUUUUGCCCCGACCUGUAAAGGAACAGGCAUGGAGCCAAAUCUAAGCCCACCACUAGAGUGUAUCCGAGCACAGCUGACUCCCACUGUCCUGAAGAACAGCACACCAGCAGAGAUCCAGUUAGAUACACCAGUUUGGUUUUAACCUGAAGAUAAGAGCCAGAGAAUAAAUACUUCUUGUUACAAGCCACUAAGAUAUUGAAAUCUUUUGCUAUACAGCAAAAGCUAAUCAAGAAACUAAGGUUGACCUCAUAUAUCAAUAAAGUUUAACCUACUGAGGAAAUAAUGGUUUAAGUAUAUUGCAGUAACUAGAAUAAGUGUCUUGAGAGAAGUAUAAAAUAUUCAAGGGAACAGGGGGCACAGAGCAGAUAAGAGGCUUCAGGUUAACAAAGACUUUCUGAAAGUGACAGUGAUAUCCUUAAAGGAAAGUUAGGUUGUGAGCAGAUUGUGGAGAGGCAGGGGAAGGAUGGAGAAGGGAUCCUUAAUGUCAGCAUAUGUAGUUUUAUUUAUUUAUUUUUUUCAUUGUAACCCAAGUGCCUGAUAUUAAGCUUUGAUUGCUGUGGCCUCCUUAUCAAAGACUGCUGUUUCCAAUUUACCCAUUGCCAGAUAGAAGGAGCCCGGCUGUCCCGCCCAGGAAGUUCCUUUCUUUUCUCUUUUAAGAACUCUCUGGUUGACUUAGUAUCUGACCCUUUGUUUGCUAGUCUUUCCCUUCUCACUUUUACUUCCCAAGAAAGAAUGAAGCUAUGACAUCCUAGAAAUCCUACCCUGAACCCUGAUAACGGCAGAGCCCCAUGCUUGAGGACUCCUUUUCUCUACCUGCGGCCUUGCUGUGUGGUUCCAGGCAUGCCCUGUACCCUUCAGGACUGGUUGAAGACUACUUCUAGAGAGAUACAAUUGGAGUCCUUGGCCCCACGUAUAACUCAGAUCCCAUGGGUUUCCUGUCAUGUCUGGAUAGCAUUUAAUCCAGAAUUCCCUGGACAGAGGAGUUUGGUGGGCUACAGUUUCUGAGGUCCCGAAGAGUUGAACAGGAGUGAGCAACAAACAAAACUUCAAGCAGAUAGCUUCCUUUUAGCUUUAACAAAUGGAACUUGACUAAGGCUUCAAAAGCUCUCGUCUUCUAAGAUAUGUUAGACCAGUGUCAAAAUAUGUCUUACAAAGUUUCAGGCUUCUUCGUUCCUUUAAGUUAAGCCAUGGCAUGCAGCUUUCCAU